Molecule: ribosomal RNA, 526 nt
Filed under: uncultured bacterium
Lineage: Bacteria
Description: partial 16S ribosomal RNA
Rfam family: Bacterial small subunit ribosomal RNA
Source: RNAcentral
UGGGGAAUUUUGGACAAUGGGCGAAAGCCUGAUCCAGCAAUGCCGCGUGUGUGAAGAAGGCCUUCGGGUUGUAAAGCACUUUUGUCCGGAAAGAAAUCCUCUGGGUUAAUACCUCGGGGGGAUGACGGUACCGGAAGAAUAAGCACCGGCUAACUACGUGCCAGCAGCCGCGGUAAUACGUAGGGUGCAAGCGUUAAUCGGAAUUACUGGGCGUAAAGCGUGCGCAGGCGGUUUGCUAAGACCGAUGUGAAAUCCCCGGGCUCAACCUGGGAACUGCAUUGGUGACUGGCAGGCUAGAGUAUGGCAGAGGGGGGUAGAAUUCCACGUGUAGCAGUGAAAUGCGUAGAGAUGUGGAGGAAUACCGAUGGCGAAGGCAGCCCCCUGGGCCAAUACUGACGCUCAUGCACGAAAGCGUGGGGAGCAAACAGGAUUAGAUACCCUGGUAGUCCACGCCCUAAACGAUGUCAACUAGUUGUUGGGGAUUCAUUUCCUUAGUAACGUAGCUAACGCGUGAAGUUGACCGCCU